UACGAAGGGGGCUAGCGUUGCUCGGAAUCACUGGGCGUAAAGCGCACGUAGGCGGUUUCUUAAGUCAGGGGUGAAAUCCUGGAGCUCAACUCCAGAACUGCCUUUGAUACUGGGAGACUUGAGUCCGGGAGAGGUGAGUGGAACUGCGAGUGUAGAGGUGAAAUUCGUAGAUAUUCGCAAGAACACCAGUGGCGAAGGCGGCUCACUGGCCCGGUACUGACGCUGAGGUGCGAAAGCGUGGGGAGCAAACAGG
Molecule: ribosomal RNA, 253 nt
Filed under: uncultured bacterium
Lineage: Bacteria
Description: partial 16S ribosomal RNA
Rfam family: Bacterial small subunit ribosomal RNA
Source: RNAcentral